UUUAUUCAAUUCUAAAUACAAAACUUCGGACCCAACGGCUUGCAUGGUCACGGAAGACUUUAAACAUUACUUUUGAUAGUUUCUUCGAUAACUAAAUUAUUUUCUAAGACUUUCUAGAAAAUUCUCAGAAUACGACAACGCUUACAAAAUUUAGGUAUUUGUCAGUGAACCAUUAGUAAAAACUUGCUCAAGGAUUUUAGGUUAUUAUUAUUAUUAUUUUAAUAUUCCAGCGCGGUAAAUAUAUUUAUUUUAAUGCCACCAAGAGUGGGGUUCGUCGAUAGUGCCUAUGUGUGUUUCUGGAUGCCUCGUUUAGGCAUAAGCACGACCAAGCAGUUCGUACAAGGUUAAAUUGAAUGAAUUUGAGUUACGCCUCGUCUCGCCAUUUGGACUACGCGAGUCGCGCGCGCGCCACCUCCCGCCGCACGAACGAAGUUUAACGCGACCGAAAAAAAAACGCCCUCUGCCCUUUUCGCCCUCGAAAAAUCACCCUCGUAAACCACCCUCGGUUUCCAAGCCCUUCAAACGAGCACACCGUUAAAACGCCCCAAGAACCUUCCAACAGCCGGAUGCCCGGUACGAAUCGAAAAAAAAAACCCUUUUCCUCCCGCGGCGUUUCGUAACUAUAAACGCGAUACAUUGCUAAAACAAAACGCGAUCAUUUUACUGGACAUUUUAUUUAUUUAUUUUUUUCGUAACCUCUGUGCCUUUUUGCCGUUAAUCUUUCGAAUAGUCAUUCAGGUUAAGUUCUGUCGAAUUUUUAGCCCUUAUCAAGGCAUUAUCCGGUUUUAUCUGUUACUUAUUUUAUCGGUGUUGUGCGUUCAAAAGUGUCCGUCGAGUGCGAGUGGCGCGCGCGCGCCGGCUGUCGGCCAUUUGUUAGGCCUAAAUAAGCGGCAGCCGCGGGCAGAUGCGAAAUUUUUGCACAAAUAUCGAUCGAAAGAAUCCAAUAAGAUUCUUAUAGGCCUAUUUAGAAAAUUGUCGGAAAACACUGUGUAGACGUUCUAUUAUCGAUUUAAAGUGAUUUUCGGUCAAGGAACACGUUUCGAAUAUGAAUUUUGAACGAAUUCGUGAAGUGCUAGUGUCGGAACUCGGUGCGAGUCGCGAAAGUGUUUGCUGAUACUCGUAGGAUGGAUACAGUUCGACAAUUCCCGAUCUAAAUAUUGAUUGCGAGCACUACGAUAUGUUACGAUACAUUAACGAAAUAUAAUUAAAAGAAAAAAUGGAACCUGUUAUGGUGAGUCUCUUCUGUUAUAUUUUUAACUGAUUUAAAAAAAGGAAGUAGUUUUCAUUCGACUAUUUGUUAGGUGAACCGAUUUUAAAUUUUUAUUUUAUUUUAUUUAAACGCUGGUGCUUCUCAUGUCGUCCAAUAUUAUCGAGAUCUGACCAAUUGUUUUUUCUCCUUCUUCUUCUUCAACCCGUGACCGGCUCGUGGGUCGCGAUUCCGGUCCAGUGGUCGAUUCUGCGAAGCACUGCUAUUGCUAGGGCUGGUGUUAGCAAAUUCUCUCAGGUCGAGCCCGUGAGCUCACCUAUACCUCAACUGAAAUAGCCCCAUAAGCUACCAGAUAAUAGGAAGUCGCUUUGAAGUCGUCGUGGCCUAAAGGAUAAGACGUGCGGUGCAUUUGUACGUUUUUGUUUUUGUUUUUUUUAUUGCUUAGAUGGGUGGACGAGCUCACAGCCCACCUCGUGUUAAGUUGUUACUGGAGCCCAUAAACAUCCACAACGUAAAUGCGCCACCCAUAUUGAGAUAUAAGUUCUAAGGUCUCAAUAUAGUUACAACGGCUGGCCCACCCU
Molecule: long non-coding RNA, 1788 nt
Organism: Bombyx mori (domestic silkworm)
Lineage: Eukaryota; Metazoa; Arthropoda; Insecta; Lepidoptera; Bombycidae
Exons: 4
Source: RefSeq, a predicted model, not a curated record